Molecule: long non-coding RNA, 7031 nt
Organism: Gallus gallus (chicken)
Lineage: Eukaryota; Metazoa; Chordata; Aves; Galliformes; Phasianidae
Exons: 4
Source: RefSeq, a predicted model, not a curated record
GAUCUCGACGUCCAGGGCCAGCUUGAUGUUCAUCAGCUCCUGGAACUCCCACAGCUGCCGGGCCAGGUCCUGCUUCGCCUUCUGCAGAGCUGCCUCCAGCUCGCCCAUGGGAAAGCAGGCUUGCUUUCAGAGAGCAGCAGAACUGUUCUGAUUUGACUUCUGCACCAGAGAGCAGAGGACCGCUUGGAAUUGCUCCUCUUGGACUGCUUUCAGUUGUGUUUCUAACCGGGCUCUGUUGCACCCCAGUGCUUCCAACUGCUUCUUCAAGUUCCCAAUACAAGCCUCCAACAUGGGCACGAUGGUGUUCCUGCCAUGUUUCUGACCCUUCAGAAAGCUCCACUUGGUCUCCAGCACCUCGUUCUGCUGCUCCAGUAAUCGCACCUGAAUCCCAGAGAGCAAAAUAGGAAAUGAGAUGAGGGUUAAGUGGCUGUGAGAGGUGAUGUCCAUGCAACAGCCAUAAAGUGCACCCCUUAGUACACCUGAAUACAGUGUUUCCUGCUCCACUGUUCUUUUGUGCAUAUGGUUUUUGUGGGUAAGCCUUGUGGAAAUGCAUAAAACCCGUAACACGUCUAGAAAAGAACACCUUGGUGCUCAACUGACAUUCUGAAGUUGUCCUCAGUGUCUAAAACAGAGCUGUAUUUCCAGGAUUUCUCGCCCUUUCCAUGCUAGACCUCCCUGGGACUGGAGCUGUGGGGGGGUUUCUCUGCUCACCUUCUCGAUGAAAGAAGCAAAUUUGUUGUUGAGGGUCUUGAUCUGCUCCUUCUCUUGGUACUUCAUGGUCUGCACGUUGGGGUCGAGCUCCAGUUGGAGUGGUUGUAGCAGUUUCUCAUUGACAGUGAUGGGUACGAUGGUGCACGGCCUGGAGGAUCCACCAACCCUGUAGCCAAAGCCAGCACCUCUGCAGCCCAAUCCUGCUCCAGCAGCACCUAAACCAUAUCCACAUCUCAUAGGAGGACACCUUCCUACAGCUAUUCUGGGCCUGGAGGAUGCCACACCGCUGAGGCUCCUGGUGCUGAAGGAACCCAACCCGCGCUGGCGACACAAGACUCUACCAAAGCUUUGCCCAUUCCUGGAGAGAGCAACAGAGGAUGAGCUGAAAUUGCCAACACGGCCAACAUUGGUGCCAUAGGAGCAGGACAUGGCUGCUGGUGGGGAGGGCUAGGUGCAGGUGGUGUGCUGGGCCCCAGUGCAGUUCCCUCUGCCUCCAGUGCAGCACCUUCUUCCUUUUAUUUGUGGUGAAAACGGGGCGAGGCUGCAUGAAACUUCCACAAGAUGUUUAUGAUGCAGAGUAGGAGCUGCUUAGCAUACGCUGUGCUCACCAAUGGAGAAAGCAGAUUUGCCCCAUACCGCAAUUGAAGACUGCUGUUAAUUCAAUGGGGUCAUCCUGAAGUCUUGUGUAAUCACAGUGAAAACCAGGACUUGUGCUAGUGCUCCUUGUUUUCAGGAAUGUGAAAGCUUUUGCCUUGUUAUAGGUUGGAUGAAGAUGUCAAGUUCUCACUCAUCCAAGUGCUUCCCUAGCUUUAUGUUCUGCUGCUACCUCAGCUUGUGAGUAAGAGCUCUGAAGGAGAAUGCAGCUGUAUAUUAGGAACUAUUUCUUCUCUGACAGAGUGGUGAUGCAUUGGCACAGGCUGCCCAGGGAGGUGGUGGUGUCACCAUCCCUGGAGGGGUUCAAGAACCAUGGAGAUGUGACACUUGGGGACAUGGUCAAUGGGCAUGGUGGGAUGGGUUGGGGUUGCACUGGGAGAUCUCGGAGGUCUUUUCCAACCUGAACGAGUCUGUGAUACAACCAGAUGUUUAAUAAAUGAUAUCAGUAAUAAAUGUGAAUUCAUUGAGAGUUAGCAAACAAAGCCUUGAGUUCAGGUUAGUGAUAGAUGACCGCAUUUUUGUUGCCUUUCCAUAGGCAAAGCCAACAUCUUUGAAUGCCUGGCAAAUGUCAUUGGGACCAGGUGUGUUUGUCAAGGAGGUUUUUCUGCAGAUUCCUGGCACAAGAGGAACGUUGCUGGGCAGAGCAGAGAAGGGUCUGAUCAGCUGGGGUACACAAAUGUCCCAGAGGGCCACGUUGAGCUACAAACUGACUGACUGACUGAAGGUGGGAUUCAACUCCUUUAAUUAAAUCUUCCCAAAAGUUGGCCUGUAGGUCCCUCUAGAGUCUCUGGAGAGUGAGAUGCAUUCUCACCGCUGUCCCUCCAUCAACGUUCCCUGCUGUUCCUACCAAAAGCCCUACAGAAGUGUUUGAGUUGGUCUGAAAAGCCCUCAGCUCUUGGAGCAGAACACACUCCUUCCCUGCACACCUUUGCCUGUUAAUUUCCUCUCCAUGCCUGCAAGAGGAAGAAAAAACAUAGUUUUACUCCUUUUUAUUCAACCUAUGCAUGAAUUUGAUCUCUUCCUCUUGCCUCACCUCCAAAUGCCCAAUGCCAACAUGGAGACAGAUGCCAACACAAGCUGGACAUCGCUGGUGACAUUGCAUCUUGUGCAGCUCUGCCAACUUAAAAUGAACCAGAUCCAUUCCAGCUCUAGUUUUGGAGCUUUCAUCUUUUUUUUUUUUUCUUUCUUUCUUUUUUAAACUUCCUUUUUCCUGUAGUCUUCCAUGAUACCUUGCAUAUUGCUCAGUUCUGUUGCCAGCUUGGAUCUUUCCCCUCCCAGAACAUCCUGCUGCCUCUUCCAGUUGGCAAUAGAAGUUCCCAACAUUAGCUCAGCGUUGCUGUUGUAACACUUCUGCUCCUGCAGAAAGCCCCAUGUGGUCCCUCCAGCCCCUCAUUACUCUGCUCCAGCAGUUGGAGCUGAAAUUCAGAGAGUAAAGAUUUGUUACUGGUGAUACAGAAGGGAACAACUACAGUCCCAGAAGCGGCAAAUUGAGGGAUGCAAUUAGUAUUGUUCAGGACAGUAGUGGGUGAAUGGAGAAAGCAGACACCCAAAGUGUGUCAACUGACAUCUUCUUAUGAGAAGGCUGUUCUGAAAAAUGUCUCUGCUGUUACUGUAUGAAAAGCCCUAAGUUACUCAUUACAGAGGUGGGAUAAAGGAGGGAUAAUUCUGUUUCAGUUUAGGAUUCAAGGGAUGUAAAAAUGAGGCUUAGAGAACCAACUUCUCUGCAGGUAGCAGCAAAACUGGGUCCAUCUGCAGCCUGAGCUUCUUGAUGGGGAUCUGGGCAAUGGGUGUGCAGACCCUGAGGAGUCCACCAACCCCACAGCCAAAUCCAGAGACUCCAGCCAACCCCAUGCCAGAGGGAUCAUGGCUAUAUCUCUGCAUUGCCAUCCAGGCUCAUGCUGCUGACACAUCCCAGCCCUGGGCACCCUCUACCACCAGCUCCAUGGCACAAGAAUCAGUGGUGGAUCUCCUCCCGCUCCUGGGGAUCCCACAAGAGCAGGAGAUGAAACUCCUCCUGCUUUAGGUGAGGUUGGCAAGCCAUCGUGGCUGCCUUGAAGGGGAACAAAGGUGGAGGGAGGAGUAGGCAAUGCACGUGAGAUGGCCUCGUUGGAAACUGUGGGAUGAGAAGCAGAGCUUUCACCCUCUUUUCUCCCAGAAAAAUGGGCUUUUGCUGCACAACCAUCCCCAAAUGAUCAUUUUAAACCACAUUUGUGAGCUUGGGGUAUUUGGUAAUAUCCCACUCGUCUCCUUUGCUGAAGAGAAACUUGAGCUGCUUUUAAGCACACAUCUAUCGUUGGGUUCUGGGCUGUGUUUCUAAUUUGAAUGGGAGGGAAUCCUUGGCCCCAUAACAACUGCAUUUGCAAACCUCCCUUUUUUUAUAAUGAGCAUGAAAGAGAAAAGCAGAACCAAUCAUUUGAUGUUUGCAGGGCACCAGGCUGUAGAAAGUAGCAUUGCUCUGUUUAAUGUGUGUAAAUAGAAGAAUCCACAUUAAACUUCUUUGCCUCUCUCCCUCUUCCAUACAAAGGUUGGGGGGAGCUAAGAACAAUGGCACUGAACUAGGGAUGGUUUCCUUGUGUUUUUAACCCCGCUGAUGUUACUGCCUCCAGUUUGACUGGUGGGGUGGGGGCUUACAGCCAGGAUUCACCCCCAUUCAGCUCCCUGGAAACUGAGGAUUUGGGGUUUCCUGCUGAAGCUAAUGGAGAAAGAGAUGUACCCUGUCCUAAAACAUCUUCAUCCCUCCUGCUGGUGAAGGUCACAGAGGUGUCAGACCAUGAUCUCCCUCCCCAGAAAGGCAGAGCAGAGGGUGCUGUGCCCUUCUUUUCAGUUGCUCCUCACUCUCCUCUCUUGUUUUUCUGGUUCCACACUAACGAUUUAAGCUCCUUACUUACUCAAAUCCAUUACGCAGUGCGUCCCCCGGGGGUAUGGUAGCAGACACUGAGGCUUGACAGAAGUUUUUCCAAAGUACAUAGAGUGGAUGAGAAGGAGCAGCUCCUCCUAAAGAGUUAAUGAGCUGAGCCGAAACCUUCAGAGACUUUCCAUGGGGUGGAAAUUACCUCCUGGCUUCCAGCAGCGCUGGAACCCAACCAUCAGGAGUAAGGGGUGCUAUUAUUUCAGAGAGAGAAAGCAGCACUUAAGCGCACACUUAAAAUUAAUCCUCGUUUUUUUCGGCAGAUUUUCUCUCCUGGAGAGGAACCCACAUCAGUAAGAAGUGGUCAGUGUGCUCCUGGUUUAAAAAAGCAGUAGAAAUAAUGGUAAUAAUAAUAAGAAAAGGCAGAUGCCAUGCAAGGUGUAGAGUGCUGCUAUUUAUACAGCAGCUGGAGAAUGCCAGGUCAGGUUAGUCCUUGCUGAGGUCUCACGGUUCUGGGUUGCCUUGGGUCUUAAACUCUUCCCACGUGGCCUUCAGCAUCAGUGAUGGCUCAUUGAUAGGGAUGUUUGGAUAGGAGGAGCAGUGUUCAAUUGCAAAGAAAUCUGGAGAAGUAGUAUGCUCCUUACCCAGCCCUACUCACUCAGCUCCUGAACUCUAUCAGGGAUUCAGAAGUGAAUGUCUGACAUGGAGAGCAGUCCUGAUCCCACUCGACAGAUAAUGACAACUAUGCCAGCAUGGAUGGGUGAAAUGAGCCUCACCUUGCUAAUGAAGGAGGCAAAUCUGCUGGUGAGGGCUUUGAUCUGAUCCUUUUUCUCCUAAUGCACUCACUGCACUGGGGCUGAUCUCCAAGUUAAUAUUGACCAGGAGGUUUGGGUUGACCACAAUCCCUUGAAUCCCUCCAGGGCCACAUCUUCUUCCAAACCCAAGCCCUCCAUCACACCCACUAUGGCUGCACCCUGACCUGGCAGAGCAGUGCCCUCUGCUCCUGGAAAUCCUCUUGCUUCCCUCUGGGCUGGGAAGGCUCCUGCUGCCAAACCCACUGCAGAUCCAUCCCACACUUCCUCCAUUGCUGUGGGACAUGGAGAAGGAGCUGAAGGUGCUUUGGGGAAUGGGCGCAGUGGUGGAAAGAGCACCAAACCCCUCAGAGGUCCUGACGUGUGGCUAGCUAACUUCAGUGUGGCUGCAGAGGGAUGAGAUGGGAGAUGGACAAAGAUCUCCAGGUUUGGCCCUGGAGUGACCCCUGCCUUAAAUCCUUCUGUGUUCUGGGCUUGUGCAGAGGGCUGGGUGGUGGAAUCAUAGACUCAUUAAGGCUGGAAAAGACCUCUAAGAUCAGCAAGUCCAACCAUCAAGCCAUCACCACGGUGCCCACUAACUCAUGCAGCUCAGUGCCACAUGAAGUGUAUCAGCUCUCAGUGCUGCACCUGGACACACUUCCAGCCCAUUAAUCACCCAGCCCUCUGGUGCUCCAUGUUGGCCACCUCCAGGCUCAUAAAAUUAACCAGCCUGUAUUUUUCAGGGUGCUGAUCUCUUCUGGGAAAAUGUAUAUCUCUACGUCUGAUUGUUCCCUUUGGGCUUGCUUUUAGCUUGGUGUCAGUGCCCGUUUAGUUUAAAGCAGAUGGAACUGAAGCUGCCGCAAGGGGAGUGGUGGAGAUGUGGAAAAUGCCAAUUUGAUGGCUUUGCUAAGGGAAACCUGGCUUUUCUUCCAGGAGCAACAUGUGGUCGAGGCAAGGGGCAGCUGGAGGUCAUGGUGUGCUCCUCUGCUUUGCAAGCAUGAGUUCUUGUGAUGAAGGGGAUAGUCUGGGAGGCACUUCUGCCCUUCUGCUUGCUACAGGGGAAGCCUGGGUGCUUUGCUUGGCCAUAAUGCUGGAUGCUGAGGUAUCUACAGAGAGAAAGCAUGCUGGCUGUAGAAAUGCAGCUAUCAGGUGCCUGUUUGCUACUGGAUAGCGUUUGCAUGGCCUCCAGCAAGCCAAAUUCUGUUCUGCGUGGAAGUGGAAAUCAUGUCCAGAGAUGCCAAAGAUGGAAGGGUAGGUGUUGAAGAAUGGGCCAUUUCCUUAUGGUAGUGCACUGUUGUGCUCAGAUCUGGAGGAUUAAUGAGAAGUUGGGCUUUUUUAUCUCUUUCUCUAGGCCAGGAGUUGAUCAGGGAGUCACGUUUGCCUCCAGCACUUCGCUUACCCAGCAUAGCUGGGUCACACUGGACAUGGCUCUUCCCUAAAAGGAUGAGUCUGGGGCUUUGAUGAGUUUUUGCAGUUUCUAAUUAUGGUGGUACCAAUGCCAGCAUUUUAUCAACCCCUGCAGCUAUUGCACGUACAGAACACAUGGGCUGAACUUCUUGGGAAAACUGAAUUAUGUCCCUGCAUGAGUCAUCACACAAAACCUUGAAAAAUUACAGGGGUUUGGGGGUGAUCAAGCUGGCAUGACACUGCUGAGAUGCCACGACAUAAAUUAGGAGAGAGGGAUGUUUUCUCUGGUGUGUGCAGGCAAGAGAUGGAAAUUUCCCUUUCCCUUGGAGUUUGAUGCCAAAAAAUCUUGCUGGACAAAUGGGAACGGGACGCCCCCACUCCUUGUUCCUGUUGGGUGUAAGUGACAGCCAUGGAAGGAGAGGUCUCAACUGUUAUGUGUGUGACUUGUGUUCACCUUCUGCUAAAGAGAUGAUAAUGCCACCAUGGCCAUGUAAAGUCAUUGAAAUUAAAAGGAAAAUGCAACAGAAUGAAUUUCACAUGCCUUUUAUUAGACAAACGCUGGGAUGUGAGGCUUUUGGAGCAUCUAAGAACAAACAGGAGCAAGGCAUUUACAUAAAUAA